Molecule: long non-coding RNA, 1351 nt
Organism: Raphanus sativus (radish)
Lineage: Eukaryota; Viridiplantae; Streptophyta; Magnoliopsida; Brassicales; Brassicaceae
Exons: 2
Source: RefSeq, a predicted model, not a curated record
AUUUUUGAAAGUGUAUUUUUAGUGUUGGUAAAGAUGAAUAAUGAUACAUUCAAAGUGGUAUUUAUACCACUAUUCAACUAUACUACCAAUCAAAUUACAUUUGCAUAAAUACCAUAUUUAUUACUAUCAAAAGACUAAACUAACCUUACUUAUUUUCAACCCAUUAUCGCCUUUUCUUUCUUUGUCGAGAUCCAUACUCUCUCUCAGUCGGAUCCAUCGCCUGUCUCUCUCUCCGAGAUCCAUCGUGUCUCUUUCCGUCGGAUCCAUCGUCUCUCUCUCCGAUCGUCUCUCUCCGUCGAGAACAAUCGUCAAAACCUCUGGCAUCAAAUCAUCUUUGAUAUUUUAAAAACCAGACAGCUGCUCCCCCUGGUGGAUUUAAGUUUGGCUAAAAAAGGUAUAGAACAAAUUGAAAUCCUGAGUUUGUGGAACCUGAGAUUCAUUGUUAUUGACAUUGCCAGGUUCAAGUUUGGACUUUUGAGAACUGGUGCAAAAAAGGCUUUUCUGUUUCCCUUGCUUUCUUUUGAUGUUGUCUUCAUUCGUUUGAAUCAUUCUCUGAGUCUGUAUUUUAAUAUCUUAAAACGUUUGGAUAAAUCUUGUCUAGUGUGGUGACUGGUUUAGAAUAUGAUCACCCUUUGUAUUUGUCACUUCUAUCUUUGUUGUUCUUGAACUUUUACUAGAGUGCAAAUACAAGAAACGUUAUUUGAUUGCAAUUUGCAAGGGUCCUCAAACGAAUUGGUUAAGAAAAGCUUUAAUCUCAUCAAUAUAAGGAGACUUGGUAGGAAUGAUGUGGCCAGAUUCGUGCUCUAUUAUGGUGGAGCAUCCUUCAUCAAACAGCCCCGCCAAAGCUGAGCUGGCUUCAGUCACAAUCUGUCUGUCUUUUCCAGGCUGGCUUCCGAAAAUGUGAAGUGAAGGGCACUUGAUCGACCCUUGCUCUGUCUUCUCCAUCAAAGGCCAAGGUGUGAAACCUGAGCACAACACGCAGAAUCUGAAGGCUAUUUCACCCAAGAGCUGCUCUUGUUUCCCGCAUACAGCUGCAGCCAUUGCUGCUCCUUGACAAUAUGCAGAAACUUAAACUCUAUUUUCUGCUUGUUUUGUGCAGAGCAAGGUAAAGAUCUAGAAGAGUUUUUCCAAUCAACCGCAGGGAAGUUCCAGGCAGAUGUAGGCAAAGCUUGGGCGAUUGCUUCAAGAAGAAGAAAGCAAAAAUAGUUGUAGUUAGUUCUCACGUGAGCUAAAUACUCUGUUCCCUUCAACUUUUAAUAAUUUCAAGAUAUUUUAAUGUGGAUAUACAACUUAAGGGUAUCUAUGUAGGCCACAUUCUUUGAGGUAGUAGAAGUCUGCGAAUUCUAUUUGA